This is a long non-coding RNA of Ricinus communis (castor bean), 498 nucleotides long. RefSeq lists it as uncharacterized. The record is from RefSeq and is a predicted model, not a curated record. NCBI's taxonomy places the organism in Eukaryota, Viridiplantae, Streptophyta, Magnoliopsida, Malpighiales, Euphorbiaceae. The transcript is spliced from 3 exons.
AAGAAACCUUCCACACAAUCCCUUUUGCUCUCUUUCUUCUGCUACUGCUAGCAAUACAUAUCUUCCUUGAUUUAUAAUAUAUUGUCAGUCAGGGAUUUAAUGGCUCCUUCUAAGACAUUAAUGGUUCUCUUUGUUACAAUCUUGCUGAUGAUGUCCUCUAUUCAAGUACUGUCUGCUGAAAGUUCUGGAAUCCCAAUAUCUAUUACAGGAAGGAAAUUAGCUCAGGCUACGGCUACAUAUUCCGGUCCAAGAGGAGGAGGAGGAUGCUACCCUCCGAACUGUGAUUAAGGGUCCAUUAUAUAUUCAUAGGUCGCAGGGCCCUUUGGCAGCUACAGUACAGCUGGCAGGGGAGCAUACAGUUAGCAAUACCCAUGUAGACUUACAGGAAUUAAAUAAAAAUGUUGAAGACUAUCAACCUAAUGUGGAUUGGAGGGAUGUUAUUAACGUUUGUGUAAACUGAACUUCUAUUGAAUUAUGAUGAUUGUUACAUAAGACUAA